This 104-nucleotide small nuclear RNA is filed under the name Microcebus murinus (gray mouse lemur). The record is from RNAcentral. Lineage: Eukaryota; Metazoa; Chordata; Mammalia; Primates; Cheirogaleidae.
GUGCUCCUUUUGGCAGCACAUAUACUAAAAUUGAAAUAAUACAGAGAUUAGCAUGGUCCCUGUGCAGGGAUGACAUAUAAAUUCAUAAAGCAUUUCAUAUUUAA